RNAcentral lists this ribosomal RNA (253 nucleotides) under uncultured bacterium. RNAcentral describes it as "partial 16S ribosomal RNA". It matches the Rfam family "Bacterial small subunit ribosomal RNA", at positions 524 to 776 of the family's 1533-position model. The record is from RNAcentral.
UACGAAGGGUGCAAGCGUUACUCGGAAUCACUGGGCGUAAAGCGUGCGUAGGCGGUUGGUUAAGUCUGCUGUGAAAGCCCUGGGCUCAACUUGGGAACUGCAGUGGAUACUGGCCAGCUCGAGUGUGAUAGAGGAUGGUGGAAUUCCCGGUGUAGCGGUGAAAUGCGUAGAGAUCGGGAGGAACACCAGUGGCGAAGGCGGCCAUCUGGAUCAACACUGACGCUGAGGCACGAAAGCGUGGGGAGCAAACAGG